Gasterosteus aculeatus aculeatus (three-spined stickleback) is the source of this 1147-nucleotide long non-coding RNA. Lineage: Eukaryota; Metazoa; Chordata; Actinopteri; Perciformes; Gasterosteidae. The record is from Ensembl.
UUAACCAGAGCGUCAAAGGUGGAAAUAAUGUUGUUGUGUUUCAGGCUAAAGAGGCCAUCUUGGAAAUGGAUUCCAUAUGUAAGUUGAUGUUAAAUGUUCCAAAGUGUACAAAUGUUUGCUCGAAUAAUGAAGUAGUAUUGGCAUGGUGAUAGUUGUUAGUCCGUCGUCAUGGUGAUAGUUGUUAGUCCGUCGUCAUGGUGAUAGUUGUUAGUAUGUCGUCAUGGUGAUAGUUGUUAGUAUGUCGUCAUGGUGAUAGUUGUUAGUAUGUCGUCAUGGUGAUAGUUGUUAGUCCGUCGUCAUGGUGAUAGUUGUUUGUAUGUCGUCAUGGUGAUAGUUGUUAGUCCGUCGUCAUGGUGAUAGUUGUUAGUAUGUCGUCAUGGUGAUAGUUGUUAGUCCGUCGUCAUGGUGAUAGUUGUUAGUAUGUCGUCAUGGUGAUAGUUGUUAGUCCGUCGUCAUGGGGAUAGGUGUUAGUCCGUCGUCAUGGUGUUCGUCUGACAUGUGUAUCACUGAACGUUGUGGUCCUCGCCUGUAGAUCCUCCCAGGUAUCGGUACAGUCCUGAGCGACUGAAGAAAGCUUUGUCCUGUCAGUCUGACGAGUUUCAACCAGACAGUCGCCAGGGACAACGACAGUCCGAGCCAAUCAGAGAAACACUGAAAAACAGCGAAGGUAAAAAAUCCACCUAAAGCGUUGCCAUGACGACUUCUAUGACAAGUUCAAGAUAAUAAUAACAAUGUUAUUAAUAAUGAUAAAGAUGUUAAUUAUAGUAAUAAUAAUGAUGAUAAUGCAAAUAAUCCGGAUGUUGAUGAUGAUGAUAAUAAUCAAAUCUGCUUUACUUCUUCUGCUGCUGAUUGUUGAUCAGUCAUCGUCAAGCAGGAGGACGGAUGCGGAGUCUCCUUCGACGGCUGUGAGCAGAAAAACGGCCGUUUUCUUGAGGAAGACGAGCCAGGUGGAACCGGGCCAACGGGCGGGCAGGUAAAUGAGAGAGCAGCCGGCGACUCGCACAUUCUCACAGAGAUCCACUUCUCCGUCUCUUUGGGAAGUAAUAUGACAAAUAGUCACAGUGUCUUCUGGUGGCGUCGGCUCCUCGCUGAGUUAGUUACCCUUCAAAAAAGGUCACUAACUGGGGGGCACCAGUCCGGAUCUGGA